Long non-coding RNA from Photinus pyralis (common eastern firefly), 241 nucleotides. RefSeq lists it as uncharacterized. The transcript has 3 exons. The record is from RefSeq and is a predicted model, not a curated record. NCBI's taxonomy places the organism in Eukaryota, Metazoa, Arthropoda, Insecta, Coleoptera, Lampyridae.
GAUCGAAUUCAAGCCUGCUUUCGACCCAGUUCAACGAUUAUAAUGGACUUGGUUCACGCAAACGAGUUAUUGGUAAUGGCGUUCGAGGAGAAUGCACACCAGUAGCCCGUGGUGAUCGUGAACUCAUGGUGAUGGUGCUUCUUCCUAAGCAAAAGUGGAUUAAUAAAAGGCUAAAGAUUUUCGAUGAGCAGCCUUAUAAAGGUAGGAUUUUUCUUUUCUAUGCAUUAUUUUGCAACAGUGG